Non-coding RNA from Salmo salar (Atlantic salmon), 3610 nucleotides. Lineage: Eukaryota; Metazoa; Chordata; Actinopteri; Salmoniformes; Salmonidae. The record is from RefSeq and is a predicted model, not a curated record.
UUAUGACGUAUGUGGUGGUCUCAGAAAGACAUGACAAAUCCAUCCAUGAGCAAUCGACCACGAGGGACGUAAUUUGUGUUGGUGCGUAAGUAAGGAUAGCGUCCAUAGAACUCAAUGUAUUUCGGUACACCCAACAUGGCUGCCACAUACGUGCUAAGAAACUCAUCAUCGUUCAGUUGCAACUAGUUAUGCCUGAUUAUACUGUAAAGAGGGGAGUCAUUCCAGGACCUGCUGUAAACACGUCUAGGUUAGAGUUUUUAUUCAAUGGCAUCUUCCAUGAAUUCUCUGGAAGCGAUUCAGAAAAAAAUAGAUGCUGUUAAACUCUUCCUCUCUGUUUCACUGAGCAUCGCCAAUGCCCACACUGUGGAUUUCUACACUUGCGAUGUAUGGGACCAGUUCAUGGCUGUGCCACCCGUGGAUGUCUUGACAGAGAUCACUUUGAAUGGUGACCACAAGAGGACGCCAGAACACUACUUAAAUCAUGGCAAUGCCGAGAAGAUCACCUUUGGUUUCUGUGAUGAUAGUAAGCGCCUGGUGGAUGUGGCUGAGCUCUUGGAGGCUGCCUAUGCCCACUCCCUGCCUGGCCUCGGGGUCUGUGUGGGCCGCACAGAGCUACUGCAAUCCCUCAGACACACUGACAACGCUCAACCCCUGGAGGAAGUUCCAGCUGCUGUGGUGGAGAGUGGUGAAUUUAUGAACUCCAAGAAGUCCCACGAGGUGCAGGCCAUGUCAGAGGUGGUGGCCAGCCUAGCCCAGCGCUGCCGGGUCAAACAGGUGAUUGACGUGGGCUCGGGGAAAGGUUACCUGUGCUCCUUCCUGUCGCUGCGGUACGGCCUCCAGGUGUACGGCAUCGACUCGUCCAGCAGCAACACGCACGGCGCCCAGGAGAGGAACAGGAAGCUCAAGAAGUACUCCCGGGCCUACCAGAGGCACAGCAAAGCCAAUAGAACUCUGACAGUGAUGCCCCCUUCAGGCCAGGAAGACUUGGAGGAUAUUGCACCGGGUGAGAGAGAGAGAGAGGAUAUGGUUAAGAUGAGUGGGGAUGCAGAGAAGGAGGAGGGGAGGAGAGACGGGGAGGCACAGACCAACACAACAGGGUUAACAGAUCGGAAUGAGGAAGAUGCAAUGACAUCACUUACCUCCGCCAUUUUGUUAGAGGACAAUUCCCUUCCAGAGUUGGACCAAAGUGACCCAGCCUCAGCUCCAGAGGAUCCUUUUCUCAGUGCCCUGUGUGUGGGCAUGGUGGAGCCCACCUCCCCCCGGGGUCCCCCCAGUGAGUUGAGCCUGGAGGAGAGGGAGAGGAGGAAGAGGGAGAACCUGGAGAGGAAGGCCAGGAGCUGGGUUAACAGUGGUGGCAUGGGCAGCGGCAUGCUGUACUCACCUCUGACCUCCUACGUUACCGCGGAGACGGAGCUCAAAGAGAUUAUUGGGGAGUUAGAGGCCUGUUUCAGUGCUGAGGCCGCUCUCCCUGUUUUCCAAACCCAGGAUGCGGUCAUGGUUGGUCUGCACACGUGUGGAGACCUGGCGCCCAGCACCCUGCGCAUGUUUGUGGCCAAACGGGAGCUCCUCUCAGUCUGCAGCGUUGGCUGCUGCUACCACCUUCUCUCUGAGGAGUUUGAUCCCACCAGACAAGAGUGUCCAAGCAGCAGCGUGUGUGGUUUCCCCCUGAGUGGCUAUCUGAGGGAGCAGUCCUGGUUCUGUGGCAGAAAUGCCAGGAUGUCGGCGUGUCUGGCUUUGGAGAGAGUUGCCAAGGGCCAAGGGAUUCAGAUGGAGUCACUCUUCUAUAGGGCCGUCCUCCAUGUGAUUCUAAAGGAUCACUACAGCUCCUUUAAAAGGUAGGUUUGGUCUCCCUAAUCCAUGUGAUUCUAAAGGAUCACUACAGCUCCUUUAAAAGGUAGGUUUGGUCUCCCUAAUCCAUGUGAUUCUAAAGGAUCACUACAGCUCCUUUAAAAGGUAGGUUUGGUCUCCCUAAUCCAUGUGAUUCUAAAGGAUCACUACAGCUCCUUUAAAAGGUAGGUUUGGUCUCCCUAAUCCAUGUGAUUCUAAAGGAUCACUACAGCUCCUUUAAAAGGUAGGUUUGGUCUCCCUAAUCCAUGUGAUUCUAAAGGAUCACUACAGCUCCUUUAAAAGGUAGGUUUGGUCUCCCUAAUCCAUGUGAUUCUAAAGGAUCACUACAGCUCCUUUAAAAGGUAGGUUUGGUCUCCCUAAUCCAUGUGAUUAUAAAGGAUCACUACAGCUCCUUUAAAAGGUAGGUUUGGUCUCCCUAAUCCAUGUGAUUCUAAAGGAUCACUACAGCUCCUUUAAAAGGUAGGUUUGGUCUCCCUAAUCCAUGUGAUUCUAAAGGAUCACUACAGCUCCUUUAAAAGGUAGGUUUGGUCUCUCUAAUCCAUGUGAUUCUAAAGGAUCACUACAGCUCCUUUAAAAGGUAGGUUUGGUCUCCCUAAUCCAUGUGAUUCUAAAGGAUCACUACAGCUCCUUUAAAAGGUAGGUUUGGUCUCCCUAAUCCAUGUGAUUCUAAAUGAUCACUACAGCUCCUUUAAAAGGUAGGUUUGGUCUCCCUAAUCCAUGUGAUUCUAAAGGAUCACUACAGCUCCUUUAAAAGGUAGGUUUGGUCUCCCUAAUCCAUGUGAUUCUAAAGGAUCACUACAGCUCCUUUAAAAGGUAGGUUUGGUCUCCCUAAUCCAUGUGAUUCUAAAGGAUCACUACAGCUCCUUUAAAAGGUAGGUUUGGUCUCCCCUAAUCCAUGUGAUUCUAAAGGAUCACUACAGCUCCUUUAAAAGGUAGGUUUGGUCUCCCUAAUCCAUGUGAUUCUAAAGGAUCACUACAGCUCCUUUAAAAGGUAGGUUUGGUCUCCCUAAUCCAUGUGAUUCUAAAGGAUCACUACAGCUCCUUUAAAAGGUAGGUUUGGUCUCCCUAAUCCAUGUGAUUCUAAAGGAUCACUACAGCUCCUUUAAAAGGUAGGUUUGGUCUCCCUAAUCCAUGUGAUUAUAAAGGAUCACUACAGCUCCUUUAAAAGGUAGGUUUGGUCUCCCUAAUCCAUGUGAUUCUAAAGGAUCACUACAGCUCCUUUAAAAGGUAGGUUUGGUCUCCCUAAUCCAUGUGAUUCUAAAGGAUCACUACAGCUCCUUUAAAAGGUAGGUUUGGUCUCCCUAAUCCAUGUGAUUCUAAAGGAUCACUACAGCUCCUUUAAAAGGUAGGUUUGGUCUCCCUAAUCCAUGUGAUUAUAAAGGAUCACUACAGCUCCUUUAAAAGGUAGGUUUGGUCUCCCUAAUCCAUGUGAUUCUAAAGGAUCACUACAGCUCCUUUAAAAGGUAGGUUUGGUCUCCCUAAUCCAUGUGAUUCUAAAGGAUCACUACAGCUCCUUUAAAAGGUAGGUUUGGUCUCCCUAAUCCAUGUGAUUCUAAAGGAUCACUACAGCUCCUUUAAAAGGUAGGUUUGGUCUCCCUAAUCCAUGUGAUUCUAAAGGAUCACUACAGCUCCUUUAAAAGCGAGAAGCGUGUGGGGAACGUCUACUCCAAGGCCACCUCGUUCGUGGACUACGUCUGGAGAGCCCUCCGGAGGCUGGAGCUGGACGAGUCAAAGCUGUCUGACGGUGUCAUACAGGGUUACC